RNAcentral lists this unclassified non-coding RNA (181 nucleotides) under Mycobacterium simiae. RNAcentral describes it as "partial 16S-23S ribosomal RNA intergenic spacer". The record is from RNAcentral. Lineage: Bacteria; Bacillati; Actinomycetota; Actinomycetes; Mycobacteriales; Mycobacteriaceae.
CGAGAAACACUCCAAUUGGUGGGGUGUGAGCCGUGAGGGGUUCUCGUCUGUAGUGGACGAGGGCCGGGUGCACAACAACAGGCAAUCGCCAGACACACUAUUGGGCCCUGAGACAACACUCGGCCGACUUCGGUUGAAGUGGUGUCCCUCCAUCUUGGUGGUGGGGUGUGGUGUUUGAAGA